RNAcentral lists this ribosomal RNA (943 nucleotides) under uncultured archaeon. RNAcentral describes it as "bacterial SSU rRNA". It matches the Rfam family "Archaeal small subunit ribosomal RNA", at positions 1 to 922 of the family's 1478-position model. The record is from RNAcentral.
UCCGGUUGAUCCUGCCGGACCCGACUGCUAUCGGAUGGAGAUUAAGCCAUGCGAGUCGAACGUCUCUUGACUAUGUGAGAGGCGUGGCACACGGCUCAGUAACACGUUGCCAACCUACCCUGAAGAUGCAUAUAACCCCGGGAAACUGGGAUUAAUUUGCAAUAGAUCAUUUCUUUUGGAAUGAGUUAUGGUUCAAAGAAUUGAACGAGCAUGUUUAUUCAAUUGCUUUAGGAUGGGGCUGCGACCGAUCAGGUUGUUGGUGGGGUGAUGGCCCACCAAGCCUAUAACCGGUGCGGGCUUUGAGAGAAGGAGCCCGGAGAUGGACACUGAGACAAGGGUCCAGGCCCUACGGGGCGCAGCAGGCGCGAAAACUUCGCAAUGUGCGCAAGCACGACGAGGUUAUUCCGAGUGCCACCCGCUGAGGGUGGCUUUUCUUUGGCCUAAAUCGCCAUAGGAAUAAGGGGAGGGAAAGCCUGGUGUCAGCCGCCGCGGUAAUACCAGCUCCCCGAGUGGUCGGGACGUUUAUUGGGCCUAAAGCAUCCGUAGUCUGUCCUAUAGGUCCCAUGUUAAAUCCAAUUGCUUAACAGUUGGGCCGCAUGGGAUACCGUAGGACUAGGAGGCGGGAGAAGCGGACGGUACUCCAUGGGUAGUGGUAAAAUCCUCUGAUCCAUGGAAGACCACCAGUGGCGAAGGCGGUCCGCUAGAACGCGCUCGACGGUGAGGGAUGAAAGCGGGGGGAGCGAACCGGAUUAGAUACCCGGGUAGUUCCCGCUGUAAACUAUGCGAGCUAGGUGAUGGAAUGGCUAUUAGCUAUUCCAGUGCCGCAGGGAAGCCGUUAAGCUCGCCGCCUGGGGAGUACGGUCGCAAGGCUGAAACUUAAAGGAAUUGGCGGGGGAGCACCACAAGGGGUGAAGCCUGCGGUUCAAUUGGAUUCAACGCCGGG